Molecule: microRNA precursor, 114 nt
Organism: Arabidopsis lyrata subsp. lyrata
Lineage: Eukaryota; Viridiplantae; Streptophyta; Magnoliopsida; Brassicales; Brassicaceae
Rfam family: MIR828 microRNA precursor family
Source: Rfam
CUAAUGUUUCUUGCUUAAAUGAGUAUUCCAUGUAAAAAAUGAGUCACUCACUCAUAUGGGUGGGUUGGGUUGGUUUUCUCUUCAUGAGAUGCUCAUUUGAGCAAGCAAUGUCUG